RNAcentral lists this long non-coding RNA (1438 nucleotides) under Chinchilla lanigera (long-tailed chinchilla). RNAcentral describes it as "lncRNA (ENSCLAG00000023796.1)". Lineage: Eukaryota; Metazoa; Chordata; Mammalia; Rodentia; Chinchillidae. The record is from RNAcentral.
GCUGAUUCCGCUGUGGCGUGUACUGUGUGGAGCAGUUGCUUAAAGCAGGUGAGCAGCACCAAUACUUACCCACGCGCCUGCUCCUCAUGGAAACGUCAGCUUUAUAACACAGAACGUUCUACGGUUCAGCUUCAUAUUUGGGUAUUCCAUACAUUUGUUGAUCUUUUGUUUUACCCAAUAUAUUCAUCUUUAUUCUCUUCAGUCACCAGGAUAUUAGACACUCCCAACUUCAGGUCAUGUGAAGUACUCUUACCCCAAAUCUCCAUGUCAACACAGAAAUACAUUUCUAAGCCACAUUCCUCAGUGCUGUUAUCUCUUAUCCAGGUAAGGGAGUUAUAAAAUUCAGUAUCAGUGGAUUCCAAAUCCUUAAUAGCAAGUUUUUUACACAGUAGAAUGGUAAAGAGAAACCAGUAUCAAUAAACUUUCCAUCGUUUUUUGAUCUCACAAGGCUCAUGGAUGAAGUUUGUUUAUGCCGUUGCUCCCAUGCGUGAGGACCAAACUGGUGUCCGUGAUUACAUUAGUUUUGUCCCCUCAUCUAAUCUGUUUACCCGGCUGAGCACUGUAUUCCAGAACUUCCUCAAGUCACAGCCGUCGAAGAAGCUCAGCCUCCAUGCGGUUUCCCAUUUCAUUCCAAGGGACCUCUCAGAAGCCAAAGCUGAGCCCUGAAGAAGUGGAAUGAGUCCAUGGGGACUGUGUGUGACCGCAGCUCUCCAUGCUGAAGAGUAUGGGAAGACGGGUCGGCAUGAGAGCUGCCACAGGAGUCCUGGGAAGGUAAUGCACGCAGGGGCGGUCUCGAGCCAAGAACCUGGAGAAGUGACGGAUGAAGACUUUACUACUGGUGAUCGGAAUGCUUCGGAAGGAGCAGACUGGCUUUUGCCUUGCUAUGCUUUAGCUGAAGUUUGGGAAGACAGCACUCCAGAGAUGACCAGAACCCUCCCCACUUCUAAGUAUGGAGAAGCAGCAAGAAGCUGGAUGACAUGGACCAACGCAUGGAGAGGUGCUGUUGUAGAGAGGGGCUUAGAAGAUUUUGAUCAAACUAAAAUACACAAAACACGACUUCAGCUAAAUCAUAGUGAGGAGAAAGCCUGCUUGCUCUUCUGAAGCAUUCUGUUCACCCAGAGAUACAGCUCAUGGGAUCCCAUCGGAAAUAACCGUGCAUACAACACUACCAAGACAAUUUCUUGGUGAACUGCCAGAGACGUUCACUUUUAAAAAUAUAUUUUACAAGUUUUAUAUUUUUAACUUAGAUUUUUAUUCUCAGCUUUAGAUCAAACUCUCAUAUCUUAACAGUGCAAUAAAUUUAAUAAUAUUUUCUAAUAUUUAUUCUAUAAAGUGUAACAUCAAAAUUUAUGUACUGCUAUAAGACUUUAUAUGCAUUGAAAUAUGCUGCUUCAUCAAGACCUAUAUCUUAAUAUUUAUAAAUAAAAAUGAAGCAAAG